The sequence is a ribosomal RNA, 569 nucleotides long. The stretch from base 194 to 347 matches the Rfam family "5.8S ribosomal RNA".
UUGGACUUGAGUUUCUAACUCCCAAACCCAUGUGAACUUACCAUUGUUGCCUCGGCAGAGCCUACCCGGUACCUACCCUGGAACCAGCUACCCUGUAGCUACCCAGGGAUGGGCUACCUUGUAACGUCCUGCCGGUGGACUUCUAAACUCUUGUUAUUUAUAGUAAUCUGAGCGUCUUAUUUUAAUAAGUCAAAACUUUCAACAACGGAUCUCUUGGUUCUGGCAUCGAUGAAGAACGCAGCGAAAUGCGAUAAGUAAUGUGAAUUGCAGAAUUCAGUGAAUCAUCGAAUCUUUGAACGCACAUUGCGCCCAUUAGUAUUCUAGUGGGCAUGCCUGUUCGAGCGUCAUUUCAACCCUUAAGCCUAGCUUAGUGUUGGGAAUCUGCUGUAUUGCAGUUCCUCAAAUACAACGGCGGAUCUGUAACAUCCUCUGAGCGUAGUAAAUUUUUAUCUCGCUUUUGUUAGGUGUUGCAGCUCUCAGCCGCUAAACCCCCCAAUUUUUUUUGGUUGACCUCGGAUCAGGUAGGAAUACCCGCUGAACUUAAGCAUAUCAAUAAGCCGGAGGAAAUA